UACGUAGAGUAGCAAGACGGUUGUCCGGAAUUAAGUUGGGCGUAAAGGGUACGCAGGCGGACUAGGUAAAGUCAAGCGUGAAAGGUGUCGGCUUAACCGACAGACUGCGUUUGAAACUGAUUAUACUUGAGUGUAACAGAGGAGAGUGGGAAUUCCUAGUGUAGUGGUGAAAUACGUAGAUAUUAGGAAGAACACCAGUGGGCGAAGGCGACUCUCUGGGUUAACACUUGACGCUGAGGUACGAAAGCUGGGGGAGCAAACGGGAUUAGAUACCCGCGUAGU
RNAcentral lists this ribosomal RNA (282 nucleotides) under uncultured bacterium. RNAcentral describes it as "partial 16S ribosomal RNA". It matches the Rfam family "Bacterial small subunit ribosomal RNA", at positions 524 to 794 of the family's 1533-position model. The record is from RNAcentral.